This 80-nucleotide transfer RNA is filed under the name Topsentia ophiraphidites. RNAcentral describes it as "tRNA-Leu". It matches the Rfam family "tRNA". Rfam says of the family: Transfer RNA (tRNA) molecules are approximately 80 nucleotides in length. Lineage: Eukaryota; Metazoa; Porifera; Demospongiae; Suberitida; Halichondriidae. The record is from RNAcentral.
ACCAUUGUGGUGGAAAGGAAGACACACUAGACUUAAAAUCUGGAGCAUAAGCUAUAUGAGUUCAAAUCUCAUCAGUGGUA